AAUGUUGUAGAUGUAAGAAAAUGAUGUAAGUUUGCCCCCACCAAAUUCCAAGAUCCGAGCUAUUGAACCUUGGAAAUAUGAAGACUUGAUUUAUCUUAUGUAUUUGUUUUAUAAUGGUCUUCACUAGUUCAUAUGUUACAACUAUAUUCAGAGCUACACAUGACUCUCUUGAAUCAUUUAAUGAAUUUUUAUGGCUUGCAGAAAUUUCGGAAUAGAUACUAGGUUGGUUGAGCUCUCUUCGAUUUGUGGACUUACUAAUAUCUCUGUUCUGUUGAUUUUUGUUCAGGACGAGAAGAUUAAUCCUAUCAAUGGGCACAAAGAAAAGGGAAGACUGGAAAGGCAGGAGCAUGAAGGUGAUCUAAGCAUAUCCUUGAUUUAACAUUAUGAUGUAUUGUCAUAUUUUUGUGUUAAAAAAAUUUUCCUUCCUAUGAACCUUUGAAACUUUACGUACGAUUUUUGCCUUACUGGGCUUUUAUUAUCAUGUGAGUAGAAACGCCAUUCGGUACUAGAGGCUUUAAAACACGAUAAGUCCAGUUAAAUAGAUUAUAUAUUCGUUCAUAUAGUUAACUUUAAUUGGACUUACCCUUUAAUGCCAACUAAACUAAAAUAAAUUAAACUAGUGUUUUAGCACCAAUAGUGCUCGAUAGCAUUAUUCUUAACUUGUAUUUUACUUUUUUUAUUUUUUGAUGAUCAGUAGAUGUUGCUCAAGACGCAGUUGGUUCACAUCAAAAUACCAAGGAAUCUUCAGCUUCAAAAUAAUGCAGACUAUCUCAAAGAAGAAAGAAUCAUACCAUACAGCUGAAUUGUCUGCGACAUUGAAUUUAUCACCUUUCCUUUUUAUUUCAUCCGAAGAAAUCUUUAUUGCUCUUUCUGUCUAGCUUGGGAAAAGUUUAAUUGUCGAUAAUGUCAAUAUAAGAAUCAAGUUUUUCUUCUCUCAAUCUGGCCAUACAAAACUUUUCGAACACCGACCUUAAAGCUUCAACUAUCUUGACCUUAAAGCUUCAACUAUCUUUCUGCUUGAUAUUUUCAAAAGCUUUUUUCCUCAAAUUUUGCUUUUGCUCUUAAAAGACUGGCCUGUUGUGGCCGUAAAGCUUUAUUAAGGCAAGAUUGUUUUGCAUUUUGGCCUUUCUUUUUUAUAAUGGGUUUGUAUCUUGGCCAUUCUUUCCACUUCCUCUACAUUGCAUAACCGUUCGAGAUUCCUACCGUGCACUUCAAUUUUGUCUGCUGUAAUUUCCAUCUCUUGAAAUCAUCAUUCAAUUCCUUUGCAUAGUUCCUAGGAGGAUUGUUGUGUAUCGCAUUGACAAAAUGAACCUAACAUCAUUAGCAAAUUCCUCUGCAUCAAAGUAUGUAUUGUCCUCUAGUAUACGCUUUCUCGUUCCUAAAUUCAUUAGUUCAAUAGUUAUUGGAAUCAGCAGUAGAUCAAUUGGCUGAUUUAGAGAAGAUUCGUGAAGGUUCCCAUCAAUGAUCUCAAAAUGCUACUACAUUGCUGCUUGAAACUUCAAUCCAUCCUAUGCUUCUUUUAUCCCCUUUGACGCUCAAGGAUCACACAACCUUACGCUUCUUGGAGUUACUUGACUAGGAAAAUUUGACUAAAUUAGAUUUUUUAUUUGCAUUAACUCCAUCUGUGCAUUCAUUUUUUUAUUAUCAUUGUGAGGUUUUUCACGUGAUUUCUCUUGUGAGUUAUGCUAUAUUCCUUUUGAGGUGAUUUUGUACUUUAUGAUCCUCUUAUGUUACCAACAGUUGCCACAAAUUUAAAUUCGUGAUUUAAGGAGAAUUGCAAGUUCUACAAUUAACAUUUUUGAUGUAUGUACAUCCAUUUUGUAUUACUGGAUUAAUUCCUCCAUUAAAUGAUCCAAUGUAACUUCAUGUUCACG
Molecule: long non-coding RNA, 1874 nt
Filed under: Olea europaea subsp. europaea
Lineage: Eukaryota; Viridiplantae; Streptophyta; Magnoliopsida; Lamiales; Oleaceae
Source: RNAcentral